AUACGUAGGGGGCGAGCGUUGUCCGGAAUGAUUGGGCGUAAAGGGCGCGUAGGCGGCGCGGUAAGUCUGGAGUGAAAGUCCUGCUUUCAAGGUGGGAAUUGCUUUGGGUACUGCCGCGCUUGAGUGCAGGAGAGGUUAUCGGAAUUCCCGGUGUAGCGGUGAAAUGCGUAGAGAUCGGGAGGAACACCAGUGGCGAAGGCGGGUAACUGGACUGCAACUGACGCUGAGGCGCGAAAGUGUGGGGAGCAAACAGGAUUAGAUAACCUGGUAGUCCACACUGUAAACGAUGAAUGCUAGGUGUAAGAGGUAUCGACCCCUUUUGUGCCGCAGUCAACACAAUAAGCAUUCCGCCUGGGGAGUACGGCCGCAAGGUUGAAACUCAAAUGAAUUGACGGGG
RNAcentral lists this ribosomal RNA (397 nucleotides) under uncultured bacterium. Its description in RNAcentral is "partial 16S ribosomal RNA". It matches the Rfam family "Bacterial small subunit ribosomal RNA", at positions 523 to 918 of the family's 1533-position model. The record is from RNAcentral.